AUGGCACCCAUGAGCAAUGCGACCAGGAAGGCUGUGGUUUUUGUGCUUCUUAUGGUUAUGGCUUCCACCCUAUCAUCAUCGUCUUGCUACGCCCGCACAAUUGAAGAUGGAGCCAAUCCUCCAUUGUACUGCUUCUAUGUGGAAAAGUGCAAAGAACGUUGCCAGAUCGCAUGCAGCCUCAGCUUUAAGCCCUCAACUGGGCCGUAUUGCAAGCACAAUCAGUGUUGUUGUGCCUAG
RNAcentral lists this ribosomal RNA (237 nucleotides) under Triticum aestivum (bread wheat). RNAcentral describes it as "partial small subunit ribosomal RNA". Lineage: Eukaryota; Viridiplantae; Streptophyta; Magnoliopsida; Poales; Poaceae. The record is from RNAcentral.